This is a long non-coding RNA of Talpa occidentalis (Iberian mole), 407 nucleotides long. RefSeq lists it as uncharacterized. Lineage: Eukaryota; Metazoa; Chordata; Mammalia; Eulipotyphla; Talpidae. The record is from RefSeq and is a predicted model, not a curated record. The transcript has 3 exons.
CCCUCCUUGCCUGAGCUCAGCUCCCCCAUGUCCUGCCAAGACCCCCCACUGGCUUUAGAGCGGGUUUCACCUGGUACGUGGAGAGGCCACCUCGGGGUGGGGGCAAGAAAGAAGCCAGCUCAGUGGCGCACGCAGGAACGUGGUGCUCCGUUGCAAUAAAAAGAAGUAAUGAAAAAAAAAAAAAAAACAAAAACAAAAACAGGGAAAAACAGAGCGGGAGCUGCUGCAGCAACAAGGGCACGAAUGAAGAUAAACAAGAAACAGCUCAGCUCUGCAACCCAGUAACGCAGCAGGCCAGAGAAGCAACCCCUUACCUUGGGGAUUUCAAACGAAGGGUUGUUCACAGGGCCGGAGAAGUAAAUCUGCUCUGGAAGACACAGAAGGCAUCGAGAUAAGGAGAACUUGGG